This 1028-nucleotide small RNA is filed under the name Pongo abelii (Sumatran orangutan). RNAcentral describes it as "retained intron". Lineage: Eukaryota; Metazoa; Chordata; Mammalia; Primates; Hominidae. The record is from RNAcentral.
AAAAAGAAAAGUAGCCUUACAAGAAGCCAAAUUAAAAGCAAAGGGAUUGAAUCCGGAUGGAACUCCAGCCCUUUCAACCCUGGGUGGAUUUUCUCCAGCCUCCAAGCCAUGUAAGAUGUAUUUAGAAUUAAAAUGACUCGGGGGCACUGAAAGUGUGUCUUUAUUAGAGAGCUUUUACAUUUGAAAGUUGCAUAGAGGAAAAUGAUGUUAAGAAGCUGCUACUAUGUUCUCUCAUGGCAGUCAACUAACAUGGAAGUGGAAGCAUGGUACUUUGAGCUACAUUUAGAAACAACUUUUGGCCCUCUGUUAAAUCCAGUAGUUAACAUGUUGUUAUUAUGUCUUUUAAAAGCAUCACCAAGAGAAGUAAAAGCUGAAGAGAAAUCACCAAUCUCCAUUAAUGUGAAGACAGUCAAAAAAGAACCUGAGGAUAGACAACAGGCUUCCAAAAGCCCUUACAAUGGUGUAAGAAAAGACAGCAAGAGAAGUAGAAAUAGCAGAAGUGCAAGUCGAUCAAGGUCAAGAACACGAUCACGUUCUAGAUCACAUACUCCAAGAAGACACUAUAAUAAUAGGCGGAGUCGAUCUGGAACAUACAGCUCGAGAUCAAGAAGCAGGUCCCGCAGUCACAGUGAAAGCCCUCGAAGACAUCAUAAUCAUGGUUCUCCUCACCUUAAGGCCAAGCAUACCAGAGAUGAUUUAAAAAGUUCAAACAGACAUGGUCAUAAAAGGAAAAAAUCUCGUUCUCGAUCUCAGAGCAAGUCUCGGGAUCACUCAGAUGCAGCCAAGAAACACAGGCAUGAAAGGGGACAUCAUAGGGACAGGCGUGAACGAUCUCGAUCCUUUGAGAGGUCCCAUAAAACCAAGCACCAUGGUGGCAGUCGCUCAGGACAUGGCAGGCACAGGCGCUGACUUUCUCUUCCUUUGAGCCUGCAUCAGUUCUUGGUUUUGCCUAUCUACAGUGUGAUGUAUGGACUCAAUCAAAACAUUAAACGCAAACUGAUUAGGAUUUGAUUUCUUGAAACCCUCUA